Molecule: ribosomal RNA, 417 nt
Filed under: uncultured bacterium
Lineage: Bacteria
Description: bacterial SSU rRNA
Rfam family: Bacterial small subunit ribosomal RNA
Source: RNAcentral
GGGGAAUCUUGCGCAAUGGUCUAACGACUGACGCAGCGACGCCGCGUGUGGGAGGACGCCUUUCGGGGUGUAAACCACUGUUGCCCGGGACGAACACCUCUUUUCGAAGAGGCUGACGGUACCGGGUGAGGAAGCACCGGCUAACUCCGUGCCAGCAGCCGCGGUAAUACGGAGGGUGCAAGCGUUGUCCGGAAUUAUUGGGCGUAAAGAGCUCGUAGGCGGUCUGUCGCGUCGAAUGUGAAAACCCGGGGCUCAACCCCGGGCCUGCAUUCGAUACGGGCAGACUAGAGUUCGGUAGGGGAGACUGGAAUUCCUGGUGUAGCGGUGAAAUGCGCAGAUAUCAGGAGGAACACCGGUGGCGAAGGCGGGUCUCUGGGCCGAAACUGACGCUGAGGAGCGAAAGCGUGGGGAGCGAAC